AACAGCUGCAACACUGCCAGAAACCACGGGAAGGGCGAAAUAUUUGCUGGUUGCUGCUAUUUGAAGCCUUGCCAGAAUCAACAAUGAUGGUCUUAGGCAUUAUCAGCUCAUUUUAAAAAUGUAUCCUGACAGAUGCUGGUCUGUAAGCAACAACUUCCUUCCUGGCUCUCUAGACUCUCUAGAAGAAAGAGCAAAAUUUCAGCGUUCCCUAUGCGUGUUUGAGA
This 224-nucleotide long non-coding RNA is filed under the name Homo sapiens (human). Its description in RNAcentral is "non-protein coding lnc-PCNX2-8:1". Lineage: Eukaryota; Metazoa; Chordata; Mammalia; Primates; Hominidae. The record is from RNAcentral.